GAGAUUCAAAUGAUGAGUAAUUAUUUCAUGGUUCAAAUGAAAAUAUUUCUGUGAUUAUAAAUAUUGUAUUUUCUUUCACUUUUGUCUGAUGACCUCU
Molecule: small nucleolar RNA, 97 nt
Organism: Erigeron canadensis
Lineage: Eukaryota; Viridiplantae; Streptophyta; Magnoliopsida; Asterales; Asteraceae
Product: small nucleolar RNA snR60/Z15/Z230/Z193/J17
Exons: 1
Source: RefSeq, a predicted model, not a curated record